RNAcentral lists this unclassified non-coding RNA (334 nucleotides) under soil metagenome. RNAcentral's name for it is "partial contains 5.8S ribosomal RNA, internal transcribed spacer 2, and large subunit ribosomal RNA". The stretch from base 1 to 120 matches the Rfam family "5.8S ribosomal RNA", at positions 35 to 154 of the family's 154-position model. The record is from RNAcentral.
GAUGAAGAACGUAGCGAAAUGCGAUAAGUAAUGUGAAUUGCAGAAUUCAGUGAAUCAUCGAAUCUUUGAACGCACAUUGCGCCCGCCAGUAUUCUGGCGGGCAUGCCUGUUCGAGCGUCAUUUCAACCAUCAAGCCCCAGGCUUGUGUUGGAGCCCUGCGGCUGCCGCAGCCUCCCAAAACCAGUGGCGGGCUCGCUAUCACACCGAGUGCAGUAGUUUACUCUUCGCUCAGGGCGUGUGGCGGGUGCUAGCCGUGAAACCCCCAACUUCUCAAGGUAGACCUCGGAUCAGGUAGGAAUACCCGCUGAACUUAAGCAUAUCAAUAAGCGGAGGA